GCCAGGCAUGGUGGUGCAUGCCUGUAGUCCCAGCUACUCCGGAGGCUGAGACAGGAGGAUGGCUUGAAUCCAGGAGUAGUGCGCUAUGCUGAUUAGGUGUAUGCACUAAGUUCGGCACCAAUAUAGUGACCUCCAGGGGAGGGACAGGGGCGGGGGAGGGGGCAGUUGCCUAAGGAGGGGUGAACUGGCCCAAGUCAGAAAUGGAGCUGGUCAAAGUUCCCAUGCUGACCAGUAGUGGGAUCGCGCCUGUGAAUAGCCACCGCACUCCAGCCUGGGCAACAUAGUGAGACCUCAUCUCUA
Molecule: non-coding RNA, 300 nt
Organism: Otolemur garnettii (small-eared galago)
Lineage: Eukaryota; Metazoa; Chordata; Mammalia; Primates; Galagidae
Source: Rfam